UACGUAGGGGGCAAGCGUUGUCCGGAUUUAUUGGGCGUAAAGGGCGUGUAGGCGGCCAGACAAGUCUGUUGUGAAAACUAGAGGCUUAACCUCUAGACGUCGAUGGAAACUGUUUGGCUAGAGUCCGGAAGAGGAGAAUGGAAUUCCUGGUGUAGCGGUGAAAUGCGCAGAUAUCAGGAAGAACACCCGUGGCUAAGGCGGUUAUCUAGGACGGUACUGACGCUGAAGCGCGAAAGCGUGGGGAGCGAACAGG
Molecule: ribosomal RNA, 253 nt
Filed under: uncultured bacterium
Lineage: Bacteria
Description: partial 16S ribosomal RNA
Rfam family: Bacterial small subunit ribosomal RNA
Source: RNAcentral